GUCUUUUCUAGUUUGCAUGAAAAUAAUGACAGGCAUCUAUUUUACACAGCCACCACAGGCAAACAGUUGACUCAUCCAACAAAGGCUUAUAAUAAGGACAUAAUCGUAAUAUGAUAAUAUGGUUCAGAUUCAUGGUUUGGGUUUGCAAUGCAGGUGAUUUUGAAUAAAGCCCUCUUUGGGUCAACAAGCCACAAUUGUGUGGUCUGUCAAGAUGGGGAGGAUGACUGUGCAUGUUGAGAUCAACAUUUAGAUCUGCAUUCUGAUUGGACUGUUACCAGUGGACAUGGAGGAAGGGGCUCUUUAUAAGAGUGAAACUAGAAACAACGUGUCAUCUUCAGAAGUGUCUUUGUGAGCUGAAAAACUUCCGUCCUUCACAGAGCAGAGCAACAUGUUUUGUAUGCUGUGGAUCGUCUUUCAGACAAUGUCUCUCCUGGUGGAAGCUGGAGGACAGUCUUCAGGUAGUGGUGAGGCUGGUGGUGGCAAUGGAGGAGUUGUGAAUGGAGGCAUGGUCGUUAACGCUGUUAAACCAGGGGUUAUGAAUGGGCUUGUCUUAAAUGGGCAACCCUUUCUGGCACAGGUGAUACCACUUGGUCAGGCUGCCAUGCCCCAGCUGGUCCCCAUUGGUGCACUUCAGCAAGGUGGGGCACUUCCUAUAGGACAGGCGGGAGCAGCCAAUGGAGUGCCACUACAACAAGGACAGCUUCCUCAACUAGCCAAUAGGGUUGUACCAUUAUUUGCAGUUCUGCCACAGGCAAAUGGCAUCGGAGGCCCCCAGGCCCCAAUGUUGAUGCAGAUUAUUCCUGUGGGUGGAGGAAACAACCUUCAGCAGCCAGCGGCUGGAGGGAAGGCAAGAAAAGCUAGAGUCAAGCAUUCAGUUCCUUUUCAUGGAAUGCCCACAUCAACAAGAACAGAUACUCCACUGACCAAGGUGAUUGCUGGGGAGGUGGAAGAAUCCUCUGGCUCUGACACCAGUGAAUGCUGAAGUGAGGCUGAGCCUCUGAAACCUGGACAGCAUUCUAACUAGGGUUGCACAUUUCUAGUAACUGGGACUUCUGGAAAGUGUGAAAGUUACCAGAAUCUUGCAACCGAAAAUAAAGUAUUUAAAUACCAGAAUCUCAUCAAAUUGCCAAUUCCAGAUGACAAAUUACCUCUACUGGCAGGUUGUACAAUUCCCGGGUGCGCCACUACAACUUGUUGUGUUGCCCUCUUGUUUGUCUCCCCCUCUUCAAAAUCUAUCUCUGAAUAAACGUUAUGAAAGAAAAGUGGAAUUCCAGUCUCCUUUGAGCAAAACUAAAACUAGAUUAACAGGCUGGCUGCAAUCUCGACUGUGUGCCCAUUUUCCAUGUUUUGUAAUGGCGUUCCUGAUGUACUGGAAAUGUUGUUAUCACAGCUGAUGUCUUUGAAUAAAUUAUUAAACGGAUGGCAAGCUUUGAAAGUUGUAUCUCU
Molecule: long non-coding RNA, 1446 nt
Organism: Oncorhynchus tshawytscha (Chinook salmon)
Lineage: Eukaryota; Metazoa; Chordata; Actinopteri; Salmoniformes; Salmonidae
Source: Ensembl